UUGCCAGCAUUCAGUUGGGCACUCUAAGGUGACUGCCGGCUAAAAGUCGGAGGAAGUGGGGAUGACGUCAAAUCAUCAUGCCCCUUAUGACCUGGGCUACACACGUGCUACAAUGGGCGGUACAAAGGGUCGCGAACCCGCGAGGGGGAGCCAAUCCCAAAAAGCCGCUCUCAGUUCGGAUUGCAGGCUGCAACUCGCCUGCAUGAAGCCGGAAUCGCUAGUAAUCGCGGAUCAGCAUGCCGCGGUGAAUACGUUCCCGGGCCUU
This 265-nucleotide ribosomal RNA is filed under the name uncultured Anoxybacillus sp. RNAcentral describes it as "partial 16S ribosomal RNA". It matches the Rfam family "Bacterial small subunit ribosomal RNA", at positions 1115 to 1382 of the family's 1533-position model. Lineage: Bacteria; Bacillati; Bacillota; Bacilli; Caryophanales; Anoxybacillaceae. The record is from RNAcentral.